UUGGAGGGCAAGUCUGGUGCCAGCAGCCGCGGUAAUUCCAGCUCCAAUAGCGUAUAUUAAAGUUGUUGCAGGGCAAGUCUGGUGCCAGCAGCCGCGGUAAUUCCAGCUCCAAUAGCGUAUAUUAAAGUUGUUGCAGUUAAAAAGCUCGUAGUUGAAUUUCGGGGUCAGUAGAUUGGUCAUGCCACUGGUAUGUACUGGUCUCACUGAUUCCUCCUUCCUGAUGAGCCGUAAUGCCAUUAAUUUGGUGUUGCGAGGAAUCUGGACUGUUACUUUGAAAAAAUUAGAGUGUUUAAAGCAGGCUAACGCUUGAAUACAUUAGCAUGGAAUAAUGAAAUAGGACGUUCGAUCUUAUUUUGUUGGUUUCUAAGAUUGACGUAAUGAUUAAUAGGGAUAGUUGGGGGCAUUAGUAUUCAAUUGUCAGAGGUGUAAUUCUUGGAUUUAUUGAAGACUAACUACUGCGAAAGCAUUUGCCAAGGAUGUUUUCAUUAAUCAAGAACGAAAGUUAGGGGAUCGAAGACGAUCAGAUACCGUCGUAGUCUUAACCAUAAACUAUGCCGACUAGGGAUCGGAUGAUGUUAAUUUUUUAAUGACUCAUUCGGCGCCUUACGGGAAAC
RNAcentral lists this ribosomal RNA (614 nucleotides) under uncultured Glomus. Its description in RNAcentral is "bacterial SSU rRNA". It matches the Rfam family "Eukaryotic small subunit ribosomal RNA", at positions 486 to 1098 of the family's 1831-position model. The record is from RNAcentral. Lineage: Eukaryota; Fungi; Glomeromycota; Glomeromycetes; Glomerales; Glomeraceae.